Long non-coding RNA from Neofelis nebulosa (Clouded leopard), 7268 nucleotides. RefSeq lists it as uncharacterized. The record is from RefSeq and is a predicted model, not a curated record. The transcript has 2 exons. NCBI's taxonomy places the organism in Eukaryota, Metazoa, Chordata, Mammalia, Carnivora, Felidae.
AGGGAGAAAGAGAGAAUCCUGUGCAAGUUCAGCACUGUCAGCGCAGAGCCCAAUGCAAGACUUGAACUCACGAACUGCAAGAUCAUGACCUGAGCUGAAAUCAAGAGUCAGAUGCUUAAUCAAGUGAGCCACCCAGACACCCCCUGAGUACUUUUAAGUUGAUUCAUGGAAUGUUUUUGGGCACCUACUGUAGACAUUUGCCAGGCAUCAAAAAAGAAUCGUGGACUUCCUCCAGAAGUUUGCAACUUACUUAGGGAGAAGACAUCCAUACCUGAACUAGCUAACCAAAUGUAGUAAGUAAUAUUAAUACAUGCUAAUUUAGAAAAGUGUUGCUCUGCUAAGUGGAUUAGAAAGGAAAGGAAGUUCAGCAGGCUCUGAAGGGCCUGGUGGAGACAGGACUUGAGCUAGACCCCGGGCAGGUGGGAAGGAACUUGGGCUGAACCCCAACUGGCAAUGGGUGUGCUGUGUCCAGGCAGGGCAUUGGAGAGUGGGGAUUACGUUGCCUAGAUUAAGUGGGACUAGGUUGUGACCAGCUAAGGAAUGAGAAGCUAUGAGAGUUUUCUUUUUAAAUUUUGUUUUCUUUUUCUCAAAACGAUCAGCGCACAUAUCUUACGAAGUUAAAUAGUUACACCAGGCUCGUUAUGAAAAUCAGCAGUUCUUAGAAACCCCUUCUGCCUCGUCCUCCAAGGGACAAACCACCUUCCUUCUGUUCUUCCGCCUGAAUCUCUUUGUAUUGACUUUGAGAGUUCAACAAAAAGUGUUUAUAUUACCCCUUCGCAAUUUUUCAGUACUAGCCUAAUCAAUUGAGUUUAUCUGGUAGAAAAUGGAGAUUUUGCUCUGUUCCCUCCUUGUCUCCCAUCAUACUCACAUCCUUGCAGUCGUCCCUUUCCUCCGCAUAAUGGCGUGACUCAGAUCAGAUCAACAUUAAAUGUUGACGUGACUAAGAAUAUAUAAACCCUAUUUGCAGCUUAGCCAGGACACGUAUUAUGACUUACUUCUCCCUUCUGGCACAACCUUUAGUUUUCCCUGGAGUUAACAAUCCUGUUGUUUGUUUACUUUCUACGUAACUGUCACUAAUUCAAGCCAUUCGAUCCCACCAUUUCCAUGUGCAUCCCCUGGAAUUCUCUCCGUGUCAUCUUGAACUCUCUCUGGAGCCUGCUGCCCUGUUCUCUCCCUGCUUAUUGUCCCCCAGAGGUGAGGAUGUGACUGCAAUGCCUUCAGCUUCCCAUGUGACUUCUGUGGAGAUGUCUGGUGCCCCUCCGAUUCUCGGUUCUUCCUUUUGUUACUGUUUUUCUCCCUGGAUGCCUGUAGGAUGUCAUUCAGUGUUCUGACAUUUCACAAUGACAUGUCUUGUUGAUGGCCUGUUUUUCUCCAGCACAGGCACUCUGGAAGCUCACAUGUUUUAGUGUUAGGGGAUUUUCUGAAAUCAAUUUCUUUGAUAAGCUCCUUCACUCAAAGGCCUCUGUUUUCUGUUUCUGGGAUUGUUUCUUUAGCCGUUGGUCCUUACCUUUUCUCUCCUAUUUUUCACAUUUUUGCCUUUUUUCCAUAGUUUGUCUUUUUGAUGUCCUUUAUGGAAGGUUUACUUAGCUCUGUCUUCCAACUCUUCUGUCAUACCUUCUGGUUUUUUGCUAUCGUGGUUUUAAUGUCCAAAGACUCUCUUCAGUGUUCUGGGUGUUCUUUUUAUGGCAACAAAAUUUUAUUUUGUGGCCAUAACAUCUUUUCUUAUCUUAAUAUAUUAUCAACAUAAACAUUCUGGACACCUGAAUCAGGUGAAUGAAUCAGGGCACCUGGCUGACUUAGUCAGUAGAGCACGCAACUCUUGACCUUGGGGUUGUGAGUUCAAGCCCCACGUUGGGUAUAGAUCUUAUUUAAGAAAAAAAAAAAAGACAUAAAGAUUCACUUAUCAGCAUGGCAGUCAGAAUGGUCCUUUGAAAAUAUGUCCUAUCAUGUCAUUCCUCUCAAAAUACCUCGGUGGCUCUGCAUCUGACUCACAGAAAAAUCCUGUGUCCCUGUAGUGGCUGAUGUGGUCUGACAUGAUCUCUCUUCCCCCUGGCCUCCCUGUCAUGGGCUGUUCCACCUCCUGCUCACUCUGUUCCAGCCAUACAGCCUCCUCAGUGUUCCCACAUUGGCACCUUGGCCUUACCUAUUCCUUCUGCCCAGAAUCCCUCACUCCUUCAAGGUUUUGCCCAGAUUGCAUCUUCUCAGUAAGGCAUGCCUUGGCCUCCAUGAUAAUACUGCAACCUGCCCACACUCGCAUCCCACCCCUGCCUACAGCAUCAGCACUCCCGGUCUCCCUUCUCCUGCCCGACUCUAUGCUACCCAUAGCAAUUGUCACUUUCUAGCUCACUAUUUAAUUUUACUUAUUGUGUGUGUUCUUCAUUGCUUUCUGUCCUGUUCCACUCCCUCACCCCAUGCCACUGGGAAGGGCAAACACUCUGUUUUGUUCACUGAUGUUCUCAGCACCUCUGAACCAUGCUUGGCACAAGGGGCACUGGUAGUCUUUGUUGAGUGAAAAGAUUUGUUGAAUGAAUGAAUGAAUGUCUUUGAGGAUAUUCAUGGUUUGUUUUUGGAGUUUCCUUCUCCCUGCAUGCCUUUCUUUUCUCUAGGUUGCUUUUUCUAUUUCUUCACUUCAGUCUCUAUCUCUCAGGUGAUCCAUGACUGUCAGCUCAUGUUACAGAGUCAGGAUACAAAACCUAGUGCAGCUUCUGUGCCUGGGGAAGGGCCUUGUUGACUAUGGGAUCUUCUGUAGGGACCAUUCAUUCAAAGUUACUCGUGGUCAGUAACUUUCGAUCUUUCCUUGAGGCUGGUCUUUCCCAGACAGGGCUGGCCACCAGUGCCUGAGAACAAAGUUGGCAACAAGAGUUGGGAGUCUCGACAUUCGGUCUGUAGACUUUUACUUACUUAACUCCCUGUUCUCAGUAUGCUGCUCUCACCUCACCUGUAAAUGGUAUCUCCCAGCCUCUCGGUCAAAAACCCUGAUUUCACAAACCCUCUGCAAAGAGCAAGCUUCCAGAUUUCUGCAAGGGUAUUGGAGUGAUCUUUGCCCUGUUUCUUAGAGUUGGGGAGGAGAGGUCGGGUUUAACUCAUUUUAUUUUUCACUUUUUAUUGAAGUAUAGCAUACAUAAAAGUACACAAAUCAAAAGCUUGUUGUAUUUUCAUAAACACAUAAAGUCUAAUUUUUAACUAGAUGUUUUAGCCAAUCCAUUCAUGUAUGCUUGACCUCAACUCCACUUUUAGAGGCACUUGGCAUCAUCAACUCCCUGAGUUUGGCGGGGGGCGGGGGGGGGGGGGUCCUAUUAUAAACUCAUGCUGCUUCUCUGCCUUUUCACUUUCUCUUCUGCAAUCAGGAUUCCUCAUUCUCUAGCAAAUGGGACGAAGGUCAGAGUGGGUCAGUCUGCACAGCCUACUUGUCCCUGAGAAGCUGAACCGCUCUCCUAGGACUGCCCGGGGUCCUAAGGUCUGUGUUAGCCCUGGGUGAAAGGAAUCUAGCUGUUGGUGUCCCAGCAAAGCUACACACGAACGUUUUUUCUCUUUGCUCUCUGUGCCACAGAUGAGAGGGAAAGUGAGCGAUGAUUUCAGUAACUGAGCCCUGAUUUUCUUCCUCUUGCCUCCCCCUGUUCUUGUAUGUGGGCCCGUUUUCUUAUCCCCACCCCCUUCCUGCUCUCCUGCACGGAUCCGUACCACGGGCUCUUUGCUCGUACCAUGUUUCCUUCUUCCCCCAAACCCUUGCAGGGCCUGGAUUCUGCUGUGUUCCCACCACCCACGCGCAGAGAAGCUUGUGUCAUCAACAUUAUACUUGCUGCUUGGACCUCCAAUCACCUGUGGCCUCUCUGUCAUUCAACCCAGUUGCUAGGCCUUUGCUCACGCUUCUGCUGGCCUAGCCAAGUUAAAAGACAUGGGCACCACUUCACUCAUUAACUUAUUUACCACAACUGCUCAAUAAAUAUAUGUUAUGCCACUCUCAAAACAAGACUAGCUUCCUUCCUUUUCAAUCUCUACCCUGGAAAGGACUCUUGUAUCUUUUCUUUAAGGGAAAUUGAACUAGAACUCAUUGUGUUUGGGGCACCUAGGUAGCUCGGUUGAGCGUCUGGCUCUUGCUUUCGGCUCAGGUCAUGAUCUCACGGUUCAGGAGUUCAAGCCCUACGUUGGACUCUGUGCUGACAGUGCAGAGCCUGCUUGGAAUUCUCUCUCUCCCUCUCUCUCUCUCUCUCUGCCCCUCCCCUGCUCACACUCUCUCCCUCUCUCUCUCUCUCUCCUUCAAAAUAAAUAAAAACUUAAAAAACAAAUUUUUUUUAAUGUUUGUUUAUUUUUGAAGGAGAAAGAGCGAGUGAGCACAAGUGGGGGGAAGGGAAGAGAGAGAAGGAGGCACAGAAUCUGAAGCAGGCUCCACACUCUGAGCUGUCAGCACAGAGCCUGACAUGGGGCUUGAACCCACCAACGGUGAGAUCAUGAUCUGAGGCGAAGUCAGACACUUAACUGACUGAGCCACCCAGGUGCCCCAAUAGAUAAAAACUUAAAAAAAAAAAAAAAGAAUUCAUUGUGUUUGAAGUUUUGUUUUAUUUUGUUUUUUUAAAAACGUCCUGUUGCUCUUUGAGAUCCUUAGAAAGCCUUGAAGAGCCAGAUCUGGCAAAGAUCAGGUCCUGAGGCCCAAAACCCUGAUUGACAGUCUGCAAUGAGGGUAGAAGGCAGCAGGUCAAAGGCGUGGUUGUCUGUGGUCCAGGAAGGGGACAGAUGUGUGUUGAAAUAUCUCUGGACGCGGCCAAGACUGUGAGAGUGUCUCUGGUCAUCUGGGAUCAGCCUGGGGUUUCCCUGCUACCUGGUCAUUUUCCAGACUUUGAAAAAUCAUAAUUUAUUUAAAUAUGGAACUGUAUUAAAAUUACCCACUCACCUCCAAAGCUAGUAUACUCUUUCAGGAAAAAAAAAGUAUAAUAUAAAAAUAUGUAGAUUCUUUUUAAACCCUUUUCAUUGUGAAAUAUAAUACAUAUACAGAAAAGUGCACAAAACAUAAAUGUAUAGCUUAAAUAAUUGUAAAGUGAAAACUCAAGGAAGCACCUGUCGAGUCAAGAAGCACCACAAGGGCGUCCCGGGCAGAUGGGGCAGGGCUGACAAGAAGGUAAGAGGCGACAAAGCAGAUGUGGCCUGAGAGCUGCCGGCUCCUUAUUGCCAAGAUAUUCUAACGGGAGGGGCCUUGGAGAGAGCGCAGGCAGGUGAGAUCUUGGAGAACCCUCUGUGCCAUGGGGAAGAGGCUAGCCUCCCGUCCCCUACCCCAGCUGCGCGUCCAGCCCUUCUCUUCACUCUCAGCUCAUCCUCUAAAUCUGGCAAAUAACCCAGAGAAAGUAUGACUUUCCUUUGAGGCUAGAAGAUUAGAACAGAAAAUCCCAGUCUUUGAUCAGCCCAUGAAACUCCUGACACUGGAUAAAAACAGACUCUUGUGGGUAAAGAUGAAAAGAGUCACAUGAAAAGAUUCAGGAACACAAAAGAAAAUGGAGCAGGAAAUUAGAGGAGCGUUGCUUCCAGUAACAGGAAAUGUGUCCCAAAAGGAGAUUCAUGUUUGUGGUGAGAUUGGAGAGGACAUUGGAGGGGCCACCUGGAGUCUGGGAAUUCUGCUUUCAGAUGAAUACUGCUUUCUACUCAGGAGUAGAUACUCAGAGAAGACAAUGUUAGGUACAAUUUUUUUCUUUCUUAAUUUUAUUUACUUAGUAAUUAUUUUUUAAGGUUUAUUUAUUUUGAGAGAGAGAGAGGGAGAGUGCACACAAGCAGGGGAGGGGCAGAGAGAGAGAGAGAGAAAGAGAGAGAGAGAGAGAGAGAGAGAGAAUCCCAAGCAGGCUCUGCCAUGUCAGUGCCAAGCCCAACAUGGGGCUCGACCUCACCAACUGCGAGAUCAUGACCUGAGCCUAAAUCAAGAGUCAGACGUUCAGCACACUGAGCCACCCAGGCGCCUCAUAAAUUUAUUUUAGUAAUCUCUAUACCCAACAUGGGGAUUGAAUUUGUGACCCCGAGAUCAAGAGUUGCAUGCUCCUCCAACUGAGCCAGCCAGGUGCCCCGAGAAUGUUAAGCACAACUUGAUGUGAGAGUUUAAAAAUGAAAAUGAAAUGUACUUUUAGAAUAAAAUAUAAAUUCCUAAAAUUGACUCAGUAAGAAAUGGAAAACCCGAAUAGACCCACUAACUCUAAGGGAUAGGAAAGGGGUCGCCAAAGGUCUUAUUCAUCCAAAUUUUGGACCCAGAUGGACAAUAGCAUGGAAAUUUUCUAGCAAAUCUUCAAGAGAGGCUAUCAAUAAUUGCUACAUUCUAGAAUCUUAAGCAUGAGAAAAUUUUAUAAGCCUAGUAUAACCCCUUAUCAAAUCUUGUCUAAAUGAAUUUUUUUAAAAAGUACACACAAAACUCACUUAUAAAUACUGUUUUUAAAAUUGUAAGUAGGGGCUCAGUCGGUUAAGCAUCUGACUUCAGCUCAGGUCAUGAUCUCAUGGUUCAUGGGUUUGGGCCCCACGUCAGGCUCUGUGCUGACAGCUCAGAGCCUGGAGCCUGCUUGGGAUUCUGUGUCUCCCCCUCUUUCUGCCCCUCCCUGACCCGUGCUCUAUCUUUCAAAAAUAAAUAAACAUUAACAAAAAAAUUUUUAAUUGUAAAUAAGCUAUAAGCUCAAAUUCAGCUAUGAGUUAAAACAGGCAAAGUCGAAAGUGUAUUAAAAUCUUUUCUGUACUACUUUCCUUUAAUAGGUUAGAAGACAAAAAUCAUAUGACCCUCCUGAUAGGUGCCAAAGGCAUUAGACAAAAUUCGACAUCUAUUCCUGAUUUAAUAACAAAACUCUCUAACCAGCUUCAAAUAGAUGAACCUUGACAUCAUAAAAGCAUGAAGAAUCAAUGGCAAAUGUCAUACAGUAAAAUACCAGAUGCAUUCCCAUUAAAAUCAGAAACAAGAACCUUUUGGUUAAUCUAAAGAAGUUAAUCUAAAGAUCAAACACGGUGGGGUGAAGAAUCAUUUUACUUCCGGUUGUCAUGGAUCAAUAUUUUUGGUUUAUACACUGUUCCAUGAAGCCAGUCGGCCAUUCACGCGUCUGGAUAUUGUGGCAACAUCGAAUUGCUAUAAAAGUUUCUAAAUGAUUCCUCUCCAGAUAUGUACCUAACUCAUCAUGGCCCAGUGACAAACAGCUCACGGGCCAGCAGUGGUCAGAGGCCACACUGAGUAACCCGGUAUAAGGGCUCAGUCACCUCUUCAUCUGUUCUUCUAAAUGUGGUAAAGACAUUCAAAAAUAAAAAUUCCAAGAACUUGA